Molecule: long non-coding RNA, 225 nt
Filed under: Physcomitrium patens
Lineage: Eukaryota; Viridiplantae; Streptophyta; Bryopsida; Funariales; Funariaceae
Description: long non-coding RNA (PPAT_LNC013031)
Source: RNAcentral
UUGUAAAUGGACAAACCAAUAGGAUCAAAUUCAAAAACGUCUUUUAUGUGCCUAAGAUGAAACAAAACCUAUUUUUGGUGAGUAAACUUGUAAUGGAAGGUUUUAAACUUCAAUUCAACAUGAAUGGAUGUUUUGUAAGAGCAUUGAGUAGAGACAAGGUCUUCAAAGGCUUUAGAGAGGAAAAUUUGUACUACCUCAUUUUUAAGAAGGUGAAUGGAGUGGAAG